UUUGCCUACGGGAGGCAGCAGUGAGGAAUAUUGGUCAAUGGGAGAGAUCCUGAACCAGCCAAGCCGCGUGAGGGAAGACGGCACUAUGGGUUGUAAACCUUUUUUGUCGGAGAACAAAACCCGGGACGUGUCCCGGACUGCGUGUAUCCGAAGAAAAAGCAUCGGCUAACUCCGUGCCAGCAGCCGCGGUAAUACGGAGGAUGCGAGCGUUAUCCGGAUUUAUUGGGUUUAAAGGGUGCGUAGGCGGUCCGUUAAGUCAGCGGUAACAUUGCGGGGCUCCACCCCGUCGAGCCGUUGAAACUGGG
This 305-nucleotide ribosomal RNA is filed under the name uncultured bacterium. RNAcentral describes it as "bacterial SSU rRNA". It matches the Rfam family "Bacterial small subunit ribosomal RNA", at positions 334 to 637 of the family's 1533-position model. The record is from RNAcentral.